AGCAGCCGCGGUAAUUCCAGCUCCAAUAGCGUAUAUUAAAGUUGUUGCAGUUAAAAAGCUCGUAGUUGAAUUUCGGGAUUUGUCAGUUGGUCGGGCUUCACUGUCCGUACUGACUUGAUGGAUUCUUACCUUCUGAAUAACCAGCAUGCUAUUUAGUUAGUGCGUUGGGGAAGCAGAUCUAUUACCUUGAAAAAAUUAGAGUGCUUAAAGCGGGCUAGUGCUUGAAUAGAUUAGCAUGGAAUAAUAAAAUAGGACGGCAUGGUUCUAUUUUGUUGGUUUCUAGGAUCACCGUAAUGAUUAAUAGGGAUAGUUGGGGGCAUUAGUAUUCAAUUGUCAGAGGUGAAAUUCUUGGAUUUAUUGAAGACUAACUUCUGCGAAAGCAUUUGCCAAGGAUGUUUUCAUUAAUCAAGAACGAAAGUUAGGGGAUCGAAGACGAUCAGAUACCGUCGUAGUCUUAACCAUAAACUAUGCCGACUAGGAAUCGGACGAAGUUAAUUUUAUAAUGACUCG
Molecule: ribosomal RNA, 510 nt
Filed under: uncultured Acaulospora
Lineage: Eukaryota; Fungi; Glomeromycota; Glomeromycetes; Diversisporales; Acaulosporaceae
Description: SSU rRNA
Rfam family: Eukaryotic small subunit ribosomal RNA
Source: RNAcentral